This 89-nucleotide transfer RNA is filed under the name Anaerosinus gibii. RNAcentral describes it as "Selenomonadaceae bacterium ICN-92133 tRNA-Ser". It matches the Rfam family "tRNA". Rfam says of the family: Transfer RNA (tRNA) molecules are approximately 80 nucleotides in length. Lineage: Bacteria; Bacillati; Bacillota; Negativicutes; Selenomonadales; Sporomusaceae. The record is from RNAcentral.
GGAGUGGUACUCAAGAGGCUGAAGAGGACGGUUUGCUAAAUCGUUAGACGCGCAAGCGUGCGUGGGUUCGAACCCCACCCACUCCGCCA